Molecule: long non-coding RNA, 543 nt
Organism: Carassius carassius (crucian carp)
Lineage: Eukaryota; Metazoa; Chordata; Actinopteri; Cypriniformes; Cyprinidae
Exons: 3
Source: RefSeq, a predicted model, not a curated record
CCCGUAGUGACGCUGGUCCUGAUGCUGUGCCCAGGAUGCAUCUCAUCUCCAUCAGUCGGUCCAGCUCUCUGCGGGUCGGGUGUGCACAGUAUGACCAACCCGCAGCAGGUAAACGCUUCUUCAGUGUUAUGGAUCAAACCUGAAUGCAUGACACGUUCACGUGACUUCUGGAUGCACUCUGAGCUUCUGGAUGCUCUUGAAGGUAGCAGAAUUAUGGUUGAGUUGUCAGCGAACAAAAACAAUACCUUUUCCUGGAUUCCGGCUCCCAGGUGCCCAUUAGAGGAGACCUUUGGGAUGUAGUAAAAUCUCCUGGGCAGGUCUUUCUGCCGCAUCGAGUAAAUGGGUUAUUAGAGAUGACACUAAUGCAUGAUGCUGAUUACCGGCCACACGCUUCCCUGCCCACCGAUCCUGACCACAUGACACCGAACCCUUCCACCGCUCCGGCUGCAUUAGGGGUAAAUGAUGAGGAAAAAGACGCAACCUUUGGGUGUGCGGCAGAGACUGACGACGUUGUGAAUGCGUUCGGUCUGCUGCACGAUGAAU